This is a long non-coding RNA of Erinaceus europaeus (western European hedgehog), 726 nucleotides long. RefSeq lists it as uncharacterized. The transcript is spliced from 3 exons. Lineage: Eukaryota; Metazoa; Chordata; Mammalia; Eulipotyphla; Erinaceidae. The record is from RefSeq and is a predicted model, not a curated record.
CAAAGUAAUACAAAAGCAAAUGAACUGUGCACUCAACCUCUCCAUUCUGUUUCCUCACAUAUAAGAGAGGGAGAGGAGUAACUUUUUAAAUCUUUUUAACUGGGGAGUUAAUGGUUUGCAGUGCAGUUGCUGACACAUAGGUAUAAUUUCUAAUCAUCCUGUGAAAGUUCUCGGCAGGGUGUGGAAAGGAAUAUCCGCAGACUCACUUCUCUUUCUCCAAUCAGCUAGAAAAAGCUACAAAAAUCAACUGAAAAAUCAAUAAAGACAUGACCAGGACUUCUUCAGAAACUCACCAACCCACAGGAAAAAUGAUGCCUGUAUGUCACCAGAUGAGUACUGGAGACCCAGCCCUCCACCGGGUUCCAGAAGCUACCAUGAUGCCAACCUGACUUCCCUGGGCAGAUGACACCACCAAUGUGUCCUGGAGCCCGCUUCCCUACAGCCCUACCCCAAUAGAGAAUGAGAGAGAGAGGCUGGGAGUAUGGAUUGACCUGCCAACACCCAUGUUCAGCGGGGAAGCAGUUAAAGAAGCCAGACCUCCCACCUUCUGCAACCCAUAAUGACCCAGGGUCCAUACUCCCAGAGGGAUAAAGAAUAGGAAAGCUAUCAAGGGAGGGGAUUGGAUAUGGAGUUCUGGUGGUAGGAAUUAUGUGGAAUUGUGCACUUCUUAUCCUAUGGUCUUGUCAAUAUUUCCAUUUUAUAAAUAAAAAUUUUUUAAAAAGCAGA